This 263-nucleotide ribosomal RNA is filed under the name uncultured bacterium. RNAcentral's name for it is "partial 16S ribosomal RNA". It matches the Rfam family "Bacterial small subunit ribosomal RNA", at positions 524 to 786 of the family's 1533-position model. The record is from RNAcentral.
CACGUAGGAUCCAAGCGUUAUCCGGAUUUACUGGGCGUAAAGCGUGUGUAGGUGGUUUGCUAAGUUGGGUGUUAAAUCUCUCGGCUCAACUGAGAGGUGUCGCUCAAAACUAGUAGACUGGAGGACGGUAGAGGAAGGUAGAAUUCCGGGUGUAGUGGUGAAAUGCGUAGAUAUCCGGAGGAAUACCAGUGGCGAAGGCGGCCUUCUGGACCGUUCCUGACACUCAGACACGAAAGCUAGGGGAGCAAACGGGAUUAGAACCU